UACGGGGGGGGCAAGCGUUGUUCGGAAUUACUGGGCGUAAAGGGCUCGUAGGCGGCCAACUAAGUCCGACGUGAAAUCCCCAGGCUUAACCUGGGAACUGCGUCGGAUACUGGAUGGCUUGAAUCUGGGAGAGGGAUGCGGAAUUCCAGGUGUAGCGGUGAAAUGCGUAGAUAUCUGGAGGAACACCGGUGGCGAAGGCGGCAUCCUGGGCCGGCAUUGACGCUGAGGAGCGAAAGCCAGGGGAGCAAACGGG
This 253-nucleotide ribosomal RNA is filed under the name uncultured bacterium. Its description in RNAcentral is "partial 16S ribosomal RNA". It matches the Rfam family "Bacterial small subunit ribosomal RNA", at positions 524 to 776 of the family's 1533-position model. The record is from RNAcentral.